RNAcentral lists this ribosomal RNA (447 nucleotides) under uncultured bacterium. Its description in RNAcentral is "partial 16S ribosomal RNA". It matches the Rfam family "Bacterial small subunit ribosomal RNA", at positions 330 to 793 of the family's 1533-position model. The record is from RNAcentral.
GCCAGACUCCUACGGGAGGCAGCAGUGGGGAAUAUUGCACAAUGGGGGAAACCCUGAUGCAGCGACGCCGCGUGAGCGAGGAAGUAUUUCGGUAUGUAAAGCUCUGUCAGCAGGGAAGAAGAAUGACGGUACCUGAAGAAGAAGCACCGGCUAAAUACGUGCCAGCAGCCGCGGUAAUACGUAUGGUGCAAGCGUUAUCCGGAUUUACUGGGUGUAGAGGGAGCGCAGGCGGUUCUGCAAGUCUGAUGUGAAAGCCCGGGGCUCAACCGCGGGACUGCAUUGGAAACUGCGGGACUGGAGUGUCGGAGGGGUAAGCGGAAUUCCUGGUGUAGCGGUGAAAUGCGUAGAUAUCAGGAGGAACACCGGUGGCGAAGGCGGCUUACUGGACGAUGACUGACGCUGAGGCUCGAAAGCGUGGGGAGCAAACAGGAUUAGAUACCCCCGUAA